CCUACGGGUGGCAGCAGUGGGGAAUAUUGCGCAAUGGGCGAAAGCCUGACGCAGCGACGCCGCGUGAGGGAUGAAGGUCUUCGGAUCGGAAACCUCUGUCAGCAGGGAAGAACGGUCACUGUGCUAAGCAGCAGUGAAUUGACGGUACCGGCAAAGGAAGCACCGGCUAACUCCGUGCCAGCAGCCGCGGUAAUACGGAGGGUGCGAGCGUUAAGCGGAAUUACGGGGCGGAAAGCGCUCGUAGGCGGUAUGUCAAGUCAAGGGUGAAAGCCCCGCGCUCAACGUGGGAACUGCCUUUGAAACUUGCAACCUGGUGUGUGUGAGAGUAUAGUGGCAUUCCAGGUGUAGGUG
Molecule: ribosomal RNA, 351 nt
Filed under: uncultured bacterium
Lineage: Bacteria
Description: partial 16S ribosomal RNA
Rfam family: Bacterial small subunit ribosomal RNA
Source: RNAcentral